GCCUUAGAGUUUGAUCCUGGCUCAGGACGAACGCUGGCGGCGCGCCUAACACAUGCAAGUCGAACGGAGUUGUGUUGAAAGCUUGCUGGAUAUACAACUUAGUGGCGGACGGGUGAGUAACACGUGAGUAACCUGCCUCUCAGAGUGGAAUAACGUUUGGAAACGAACGCUAAUACCGCAUAACGUGAGAAGAGGGCAUCCUCUUUUUACCAAAGAUUUAUCGCUGAGAGAUGGGCUCGCGGCCGAUUAGGUAGUUGGUGAGAUAACAGCCCACCAAGCCGACGAUCGGUAGCCGGACUGAGAGGUUGAUCGGCCACAUUGGGACUGAGACACGGCCCAGACUCCUACGGGAGGCAGCAGUGGGGGAUAUUGCACAAUGGGGGAAACCCUGAUGCAGCGACGCCGCGUGAGGGAAGACGGUUUUCGGAUUGUAAACCUCUGUCCUUAGGGACGAAAAAAUGACGGUACCUAAGGAGGAAGCCACGGCUAACUACGUGCCAGCAGCCGCGGUAAUACGUAGGUGGCAAGCGUUGUCCGGAAUUACUGGGUGUAAAGGGAGCGUAGGCGGGGAGACAAGUUGAAUGUCUAAACUAUCGGCUUAACUGAUAGUCGCGUUCAAAACUAUCACUCUUGAGUGCAGUAGAGGUAGGCGGAAUUCCUAGUGUAGCGGUGAAAUGCGUAGAUAUUAGGAGGAACACCAGUGGCGAAGGCGGCCUACUGGGCUGUAACUGACGCUGAGGCUCGAAAGCGUGGGUAGCAAACAGGAUUAGAUACCCUGGUAGUCCACGCCGUAAACGAUGAUUACUAGGUGUGGGGGGACUGACCCCUUCCGUGCCGGAGUUAACACAAUAAGUAAUCCACCUGG
This 865-nucleotide ribosomal RNA is filed under the name uncultured Bacillota bacterium. RNAcentral describes it as "bacterial SSU rRNA". It matches the Rfam family "Bacterial small subunit ribosomal RNA", at positions 1 to 876 of the family's 1533-position model. The record is from RNAcentral. Lineage: Bacteria; Bacillati; Bacillota.